Molecule: long non-coding RNA, 963 nt
Filed under: Medicago truncatula (barrel medic)
Lineage: Eukaryota; Viridiplantae; Streptophyta; Magnoliopsida; Fabales; Fabaceae
Description: lncRNA gene14983
Source: RNAcentral
CCAACACAUCACCCACCAUACGAUCAUGCCACGUGUCUUUCAUAGCUUCAUUCAACCGUUGGAUGAACCCCUUAUCAUACUUUUCACAAUAAUGCAACAAACGUGCAACAUGAGUAGGGUCCUUAUUGUCCCACCAUAAUUCACGUCCAUCUUCACAUUCCGGCGACUCCCCGACACCACCGGAGAGUCUCUCACGGUGGAAUCCGGCUAACUCGGCAAUAUAUUCCACCAUACCAUCAAGAAGCCUAGGUGAUGCCUUAGACCUUCCAUCCCAUAGCCAAACUCGAGCCAUGGCACGUUGAAUUGCACCUACUAUAGCCAUGUUGUUGAAAUUCUCAUCUUCAAGUAACAUAGGACUAAUUUCAAUCACGUAGCUAUUAAUAUUUUUUUCAUCUGCCGUGAUCGUAGUGAUGGUAUCGAGAUUCUGACGAGCAAGACGAAGGGUGACACUCUUUAUAAUCUUCUUAUUCUUGAUAUCAAUAUUAUCGUUGUUUCCAUUAGGGUAUAGAAUUUGUUCUACGAAGGAGCUUGUGUUGAGAAGUAUACGCGAGGCUUUGUCGUUUGAGACAUAGAAAAGAGUGAAACGACGACCGGCAAGGGAGUCUUUUGUGUCGUUUACUAUAUGUAUGUCAAAGGUUUUUGAUGCUUCAUAGUUUGCCCAUAUUGAGAUUAUUGCUACAAAGAGAAUAAGGAGGAUACGAUGUAUGAUAUUGUUGUUGUUUGGAAUGAAGAAUUUUGAAUUGUUGUAAUCGUUUUGUUGGUUAAUCUCAUAAGAGGAAGGGUUGAAAUGAGGUAGGAGUGGUUGGAAGAGGAAAUGUUUGUCUUCAUUUUCCAUUGAUCUUGAAGCAAUUGAAGUAUAUAGUUGCGUUAAUGGAAAUGGAAAUUUAUAAAAUGUCAAUAGGAUUUGUGUUUUAUUUUUAUAUUCUAUAGUUGUGUGCUUUUAAUAAUAGAGCAAUGUUACCC